GAUGAACGCUGGCGGCGUGCCUAAUACAUGCGAGUCGAGCGAACAGACGAGGAGCUUGCUCCUCUGACGUUAGCGGCGGACGGGUGAGUAACACGUGGAUAACCUACCUAUAAGACUGGGAUAACUUCGGGAAACCGGAGCUAAUACCGGAUAAUAUAUUGAACCGCAUGGUUCAAUAGCGAAAGACGGUUUUGCUGUCACUUAUAGAUGGAUCCGCGCCGCAUUAGCUAGUUGGUAAGGUAACGGCUUACCAAGGCGACGAUGCGUAGCCGACCUGAGAGGGUGAUCGGCCACACUGGAACUGAGACACGGUCCAGACUCCUACGGGAGGCAGCAGUAGGGAAUCUUCCGCAAUGGGCGAAAGCCUGACGGAGCAACGCCGCGUGAGUGAUGAAGGUCUUCGGAUCGUAAAACUCUGUUAUUAGGGAAGAACAAAUGUGUAAGUAACUAUGCACGUCUUGACGGUACCUAAUCAGAAAGCCACGGCUAACUACGUG
This 497-nucleotide ribosomal RNA is filed under the name uncultured bacterium. Its description in RNAcentral is "partial 16S ribosomal RNA". It matches the Rfam family "Bacterial small subunit ribosomal RNA", at positions 28 to 507 of the family's 1533-position model. The record is from RNAcentral.